RNAcentral lists this unclassified non-coding RNA (344 nucleotides) under soil metagenome. RNAcentral describes it as "partial contains 5.8S ribosomal RNA, internal transcribed spacer 2, and large subunit ribosomal RNA". The stretch from base 1 to 120 matches the Rfam family "5.8S ribosomal RNA", at positions 35 to 154 of the family's 154-position model. The record is from RNAcentral.
GAUGAAGAACGCAGCGAAAUGCGAUAAGUAAUGUGAAUUGCAGAACUCAGUGAGUCAUCGAAUCUUUGAACGCACAUUGCGCCCACUGGUAUUCCGGUGGGCAUGCCUGUUCGAGCGUCAUUAUCCUCCCUCAAACCCCGGGUUUGGUGUUGGACCCAAGUUGUGUGAACAACUGGUCUCAAAGACAAUGACGGCGUCCGUGGGACCCUCGGUGCAACGAGCUUUUAGGAGCACGCAUCGAGUUGCAAGGACCUUCCGGGCCGGUCUCCUUUACCAUUUUACAAGGUUGACCUCGGAUCAGGUAGGAAUACCCGCUGAACUUAAGCAUAUCAAUAAGCGGAGGA